GUCCACGCCCUAAACUAUGUCAACUGGUUGUCGGGAAGCAAUUCCUUGGUAACGAAGCUAACGCGUGAAGUUGACCGCCUGGGGAGGUACGGCCGCAAGGUUAAAACUCAAAGGAAUUGACGGGGACCCGCACAAGCGGUGGAUUAUGUGGAUUAAUUCGAUGCAACGCGAAAAACCUUACCUACCCUUGACAUGUACGGAACCUCGCAGAGAUGUGAGGGUGCUCGAAAGAGAACCGUAACACAGGUGCUGCAUGGCUGUCGU
RNAcentral lists this ribosomal RNA (264 nucleotides) under uncultured bacterium. Its description in RNAcentral is "partial 16S ribosomal RNA". It matches the Rfam family "Bacterial small subunit ribosomal RNA", at positions 793 to 1055 of the family's 1533-position model. The record is from RNAcentral.